Molecule: ribosomal RNA, 864 nt
Filed under: uncultured archaeon
Lineage: Archaea
Description: bacterial SSU rRNA
Rfam family: Archaeal small subunit ribosomal RNA
Source: RNAcentral
GGACCCCACUGCUAUCGGGAUAAGACUAAGCCAUGCAAGUCAAGCGUCUCCAAGCUAUGUUGGAGAUGCGGCGUACGGCUCAGUAACACGUGGUUAAUCUACCCUUGGGACGGGAAUAACUCCGGGAAACUGGAGCUAAUACCCGAUGGGCGGGAACGCCUGGAAUGGUCUCCCGCUGAAAUGGCGUUGAAAACAUGCUUUCAACGUUGCCCAAGGAUGAGACCGCGGCCGAUCAGGUUGUUGGUGAGGUAACGGCUCACCAAGCCUAUAACCGGUACGGGCCCUGAGAGGGGGAGCCCGGAGAUGGAACCUGAGACAAGGUUCCAGGUCCUACGGGACGCAGCAGGCGCGAAACCUCCACAAUGCACGAAAGUGCGAUGGGGUUAUCCCGAGUGCCGUCUGAUGAAGAUGGCUUUUCACUGGUGUAAUGAGCCAGUGGAAGAAGGGGAGGGCAAGACUGGUGUCAGCCGCCGCGGUAAUACCAGCUCCCCGAGUGGUGGGGACGAUUAUUGGGCCUAAAGCGUUCGUAGCCGGCUUAACAAGUCUUCCGUUAAAUCUGGCGACCCAAUCGUCAGGCUGCGGGGGAUACUAUUAGGCUAGGGGGCGGGAGAGGUCGACGGUAUUCUCGGGGUAGGGGUGAAAUCCUAAGAUCCUGAGAGGACCACCAGUGGCGAAGGCGGUCGACCAGAACGCGCCCGACGGUGAGGGACGAAAGCUGGGGUAGCGAACCGGAUUAGAUACCCGGGUAGUCCCAGCCGUAAACGAUGCAGGCUAGGUGUUGGAGCGGCUACGAGCCGCUUCAGUGCCGCAGGGAAGCUAUUAAGCCUGCCGCCUGGGGAGUACGGUCGCAAGACUGAAACUUAA